AGUGAACGCUGGCGGUAGGCCUAACACAUGCAAGUCGAACGGCAGCACAGUAAGAGCUUGCUCUUACGGGUGGCGAGUGGCGGACGGGUGAGGAAUACAUCGGAAUCUACUUUUUCGUGGGGGAUAACGUAGGGAAACUUACGCUAAUACCGCAUACGACCUACGGGUGAAAGCAGGGGAUCUUCGGACCUUGCGCGAUUGAAUGAGCCGAUGUCGGAUUAGCUAGUUGGCGGGGUAAAGGCCCACCAAGGCGACGAUCCGUAGCUGGUCUGAGAGGACGAUAGGCCGCACUGGAACGUAGACAGGGUCCAGGCUCCUAAGGGAGGCAGCAGUGGGGAAUAUUAGACAAUGGGCGCAAGCCUGAUCCAGCCAUACCGCGUGGGUGGAGGAGGCCUUCGGGUUGUAAAGCCCUUUUGUUGGGAAAAAAAAGCAGCAGGUUGAUACCCCGCUGUUCUGACGGUACCCAAAGAAUAAGCACCGGCUAACUUCGUG
RNAcentral lists this ribosomal RNA (492 nucleotides) under uncultured bacterium. RNAcentral's name for it is "partial 16S ribosomal RNA". It matches the Rfam family "Bacterial small subunit ribosomal RNA", at positions 29 to 507 of the family's 1533-position model. The record is from RNAcentral.